UGCAGGAGAGAAGGUGGACUUGAAGGA
This 27-nucleotide non-coding RNA is filed under the name Homo sapiens (human). Lineage: Eukaryota; Metazoa; Chordata; Mammalia; Primates; Hominidae. The record is from RNAcentral.